UUGACCUCGGAUCAGGUAGGGAUACCCGCUGAACUUAAGCAUAUCAAUAAGCGGAGGAAAAGAAACCAACAGGGAUUGCCCCAGUAACGGCGAGUGAAGCGGCAAGAGCUCAAAUUUGAAAGCUGGCUCCUUCGGGGUCCGCAUUGUAAUUUGCAGAGGAUGCUUCGGGAGCGGUCCCCAUCUAAGUGCCCUGGAACGGGACGUCAUAGAGGGUGAGAAUCCCGUAUGGGAUGGGGUGUCCGCGCCCGUGUGAAGCUCCUUCGACGAGUCGAGUUGUUUGGGAAUGCAGCUCUAAAUGGGUGGUAAAUUUCAUCUAAAGCUAAAUAUUGGCCGGAGACCGAUAGCGCACAAGUAGAGUGAUCGAAAGAUGAAAAGCACUUUGAAAAGAGAGUUAAAAAGCACGUGAAAUUGUUGAAAGGGAAGCGCUUGCGACCAGACUCGCUCGCGGGGUUCAGCCGGCAUUCGUGCCGGUGUAUUUCCCCGCGGGCGGGCCAGCGUCGGUUUGGGCGGUCGGUCAAAGGCCCUCGGAAGGUAACGCCCCUAGGGGCGUCUUAUAGCCGAGGGUGCAAUGCGACCUGCCUAGACCGAGGAACGCGCUUCGGCUCGGACGCUGGCAUAAUGGU
This 623-nucleotide ribosomal RNA is filed under the name Penicillium expansum. Its description in RNAcentral is "eukaryotic LSU rRNA". It matches the Rfam family "Eukaryotic large subunit ribosomal RNA", at positions 1 to 638 of the family's 3401-position model. The record is from RNAcentral. Lineage: Eukaryota; Fungi; Ascomycota; Eurotiomycetes; Eurotiales; Aspergillaceae.